Molecule: non-coding RNA, 85 nt
Filed under: Alkalibacterium subtropicum
Lineage: Bacteria; Bacillati; Bacillota; Bacilli; Lactobacillales; Carnobacteriaceae
Description: GEMM cis-regulatory element
Rfam family: c-di-GMP-I riboswitch aptamer
About the family: GEMM was predicted in a large-scale screen for bacterial structured RNA regulatory elements.
Source: RNAcentral
AAUCGAAAAAGGCAAACCGUCUGAAAAGGCGGGACGCAAAACUACAGGGGCUAAGGAUGCACUUCUAUGCCUGCCAGUUGCCGUU